RNAcentral lists this long non-coding RNA (333 nucleotides) under Homo sapiens (human). Its description in RNAcentral is "HSALNT0015055". Lineage: Eukaryota; Metazoa; Chordata; Mammalia; Primates; Hominidae. The record is from RNAcentral.
GUUGGAUUAAAGGAUGGAUAUAGCUAAUGAAGAUAACUCCUCGAAAGUGGCUGAGAUGGAAUUUUGUACCAACAUUGCCCUUUUGAGGAGAGAGGGCCAAGCAUGAAGGCAAGAAGACCACUGUCAUCUUUCAAGGGCUCAACUCCUUGUUCUUCCUACUCCCUUUUCUUAGCGUUUAUUUGAGAUUUUUCAAGCCUGUAAAAGAAGUACUUGUUUUAAAACAAUGUUGGAAAUGAGGAAAAUGAGCAAUAUCAACAUUUUAUCCUGAGGGACAGGGAGUAGAAAACAAGCCAGAGGCUGCUAGUUACAUAGUUCAGUCUUAGGGAUGAAGGG